RNAcentral lists this transfer RNA (67 nucleotides) under Marmota monax (woodchuck). Its description in RNAcentral is "tRNA.Ala". The stretch from base 5 to 63 matches the Rfam family "tRNA", at positions 7 to 64 of the family's 71-position model. Rfam says of the family: Transfer RNA (tRNA) molecules are approximately 80 nucleotides in length. Their secondary structure includes four short double-helical elements and three loops (D, anti-codon, and T loops). Further hydrogen bonds mediate the characteristic L-shaped molecular structure. tRNAs have two regions of fundamental functional importance: the anti-codon, which is responsible for specific mRNA codon recognition, and the 3' end, to which the tRNAs corresponding amino acid is attached (by aminoacyl-tRNA synthetases). tRNAs cope with the degeneracy of the genetic code in two manners: having more than one tRNA (with a specific anti-codon) for a particular amino acid; and 'wobble' base-pairing, i.e. permitting non-standard base-pairing at the 3rd anti-codon position. The record is from RNAcentral. Lineage: Eukaryota; Metazoa; Chordata; Mammalia; Rodentia; Sciuridae.
GGACGUGGCUCAAAUGGUAGCGCACUCGCCUGGCAUGCGAGCGGCCUGGGUUCGACCCUCAGCACCA